This 247-nucleotide ribosomal RNA is filed under the name uncultured bacterium. RNAcentral's name for it is "partial 16S ribosomal RNA". It matches the Rfam family "Bacterial small subunit ribosomal RNA", at positions 523 to 769 of the family's 1533-position model. The record is from RNAcentral.
AUACGGAGGAUCCGAGCGUUAUCCGGAUUUAUUGGGUUUAAAGGGAGCGUAGGCGGGUUGUUAAGUCAGUUGUGAAAGUUUGCGGCUCAACCGUAAAAUUGCAGUUGAUACUGGCGACCUUGAGUGCAACAGAGGUAGGCGGAAUUCGUGGUGUAGCGGUGAAAUGCUUAGAUAUCACGAAGAACUCCGAUUGCGAAGGCAGCUUACUGGAUUGUAACUGACGCUGAUGCUCGAAAGUGUGGGUAUC